RNAcentral lists this long non-coding RNA (929 nucleotides) under Homo sapiens (human). Its description in RNAcentral is "TMCC2 antisense RNA 1 (TMCC2-AS1)". The record is from RNAcentral. Lineage: Eukaryota; Metazoa; Chordata; Mammalia; Primates; Hominidae.
AGAGUUCUACUCUUAGGAUCCAAAGUGGAUUGAAGAAGUCUCCAAUUGCCCUUAAGAAGCUCUGGGUGGGGAGCCUGAGUGGGAGCAGGAGAGGAACCAUUACCCCAGAGAAUUCAGCCUGGAGCCAAAGCAAGUGGGAAAAGGUCACCUCAUCCACCAUGUCUUUAGGCAGAACUGAUUCAGCACACACCAACAUAGAAGACUUUUAUUAAAGUUCCCAGCAUGGCGUGCCCUCUCUCUGCCUCUUUGCAUCCUACCCAUCCUUCACCACCUCGCCACUCCAUAAAGCCCUCUCUGAUCACACCAGUCUGCAGCGAUCUCGCCCUGCUCUGAACACAUAAGCGCUCAUUAUCUGCACCACUCAUUUUGCAAUUAAUCGUGUACUGCCUUGUGACAUCGCUUCUAGUGCUUUGUCUGACUGUUAUCCAACUUCUCACCUGCUGACGGAUGGAACCCUUGAUGACAAUAUGAGUGACUGGACAGCAGGAGCUACAGCUCCUACAUCUCUGUGUCCCUAACAUUACCUGGCAGAGGCCUCAACACCAACAUGGAAGACAGCUAGGUAUACUUCAAUUCUACCUCCUCUGAUAAAACUUAUCCCAGGCGUCCGGCUCCCACCUGAGAUUGCAGGAAUCUUCAAGCCUUAACAUAUCUACUGGGCCUCAAGAUGCAGCAGGCCCUCAGAGAGCCAUCGCAACCAUCACAACACUCCUGGAGAGCCCCAGGGAACGUACAUAUCUUCAUUCCACCUACGUUCUUAUGAAGUAGCUUGUCUUCUCCUUCAUUUAAAAAAUGAAGAAACUCUCCACUCUCACUGCUUCAUUUGACUACCCUUUAAAAAAAAAAGGAGAAACUGAGACCUAUAAAUUUUAUCAAAACCCUGAGCCUUGAAAAAAUAUAUAUAUAAGAAAUAAACAAAUAGAAAACAA